AAAAAUUGGAGCACAAGAACUCAAAGUAGAGAGAAUACAAGAGUGAGAAUUUCUUAAGCUUCUAAGUUUGUUCUAGAAAAAAAAAAGAGUAAGUAAGUUUGUGUAUAGUAUCUAAGUUCUUUUCUCUGUAGUUGCGAAGUUUUUUAGUACUCCCGAAAGGAAAACCUCUCUUCACCUUAAGACAUGUAGGUAGUUGUUAUUUGAAAUCAUUGUAUCUUUUUCUCCCUACUAUGUAUAUUAUGUUUGUUAUAUGAAAUUUUUAUGAAUUCCUGUAAAUUACUUGUUAAAUAUAUCCCCAGUAUAUGAUUAAUCUCUCAGUAUUUUAGCAGUAACGAUGGAUUAAUCUGUAAAUUUCUAGGGAUUUGAAAAGUUUAGAAAAAAUUUAAAAGGACUGUUGUGUUGUCCCGAGGUGUGAUUAAAGAAGAUAUUGCUAAAAUGCCUAAAUCUGAAGAGAAAAAGAUGAACAAGACAUAAAAAAAGAGUAUUUUGGGAGAAAAACAUACCUUGAUUUUGAUAAUCUCACUACUACACAUGACUAGGGAUAACGAAGGAGGGAGUACUGAGUAGGAUUUUACAUCAUAUUCUUGAAAAAAUAUAUCUGCUUUAACCUUGUUGCUUGCUCAUAUCUCAUAUUGGCAUAACCAACCAUUCAAAAUGUCCUUCUGGAAAUAUGAAAGUUGUCC
RNAcentral lists this long non-coding RNA (683 nucleotides) under Capsicum annuum. Its description in RNAcentral is "long non-coding RNA (CANN_LNC018714)". Lineage: Eukaryota; Viridiplantae; Streptophyta; Magnoliopsida; Solanales; Solanaceae. The record is from RNAcentral.